RNAcentral lists this ribosomal RNA (254 nucleotides) under uncultured bacterium. Its description in RNAcentral is "partial 16S ribosomal RNA". It matches the Rfam family "Bacterial small subunit ribosomal RNA", at positions 524 to 776 of the family's 1533-position model. The record is from RNAcentral.
UACGGAGGGGGCGAGCGUUAUUCGGAAUUAUUGGGCGUAAAGGGCGCGUAGGCGGCCCGAUGUGUCAAAGGUGAAAUCCCUCGGCUCAACUGAGGAACUGCCUUUGAAACUGUCGGGCUCGAGGCCGGGAGGGGGUAGCGGAAUUCCCAGUGUAGCGGUGAAAUGCGUAGAUAUUGGGAGGAACACCAGUGGCGAAGGCGGCAUCCUGGACCAACACUGACGCUGAGUGAGCGAAAGCCAGGGGAGCAAACGGG